RNAcentral lists this ribosomal RNA (253 nucleotides) under uncultured bacterium. RNAcentral's name for it is "partial 16S ribosomal RNA". It matches the Rfam family "Bacterial small subunit ribosomal RNA", at positions 524 to 776 of the family's 1533-position model. The record is from RNAcentral.
GACGAAGGAUUCAAGCGUUGUCCGGAUUUACUGGGUUUAAAGGGUGCGUAGGCGGAUAUAUAAGUCAGUGGUGAAAUCCCGCAGCUCAACUGCGGAACUGCCAUUGAAACUGCAUUUCUUGAAUACGGUUGAGGUAGAUGGAAUGUAACAUGUAGCGGUGAAAUGCGUAGAUAUGUUACAGAACUCCGAUUGCGAAGGCAGUCUACUAAGCCGUUAUUGACGCUGAGGCACGAAAGCGUGGGGAGCAAACAGG